This 2402-nucleotide long non-coding RNA is filed under the name Homo sapiens (human). Its description in RNAcentral is "long non-coding RNA NONHSAT200795.1". Lineage: Eukaryota; Metazoa; Chordata; Mammalia; Primates; Hominidae. The record is from RNAcentral.
CGGCUCCUUUCCUUAUAUGUCUAACCCUGGCCUGGAGCACUGGAGGAUGAGGUCCGCUGACUGCAGCGUCCAUCCUGGUCCUCCCCAGGCACUGUGGCCUCCCUCACAGCAUGGCUGCCUUGGGUACUCGGACUUCACGUGGAAGGCCAGGGCUCCGAGAGCAAAUGCCCCAGCAAGACAGAAGCUCAGCCGCCUUUGAUGACCUAGAAGCUAGGCAGCAUCCAUUGUACUGCCUUCUAUGGGUUGUGAGUGAGUCCCAAACCUGCCUUGACUCAAGGAAACGGAAUUAGGCUCUACGUCUUGACUAGGUAGUGGCGAAGUUCUGGAAGCACAUGAGUAGGAGAUACUGUGACGGUUUCAUCUUUGGAAAAUACCAUCUAGCACACCUGAAUCUGCUUUCAGGGGGUGUAAGGGGAUUUCCAUGGCAAAAUUUGAAGCCACAUGUGGUCACUGCUUUGUACUGAGGAAACAAAGUGCUCUGGGCAUCCAGAAAGGGGGUACGUUUUUUCUUACUGGGAUAAAUCUGGCUGCAUUUUAGCUAAUCCUGGAAAAUUGAUCGACAAAAGCAAAGGACCAAGAAAGCUGCUUAUAUCAGUGUCUCCUCCACCCUCAGCCUCCAGUAGCAUCCCUACGUUUUACAAUUUUAUUUAUGUCACUUUAAAUAAGGACAUUGAGAGGGAAAAGGCCUCAUCGACAUACCAACUACAGGCCAGGUGGACCUUCGGUGCACACACACCCCAGCGCCCACAGAGAUCCAGGCCUCCUGUGUAUGAAUGUGUGCCAUGAAUUUAGACCUAUUUCUCGCCUUCCGGGCUCUCUAUUCCUCAUCCUCCAUCCAAGUGGCCAUCUUGUGCAGAUGGACACAGCAGCAGCACAUAAGAGCACACGCGUGGGGCUCCAGCCCGGCCACGGGGAGACCUUUUCUCAGCAAAGGGCAGCACUGCUCGCUUUGCUGGGGCAGCCCUCCCAGGAAGAUCCCAGAAGAGAUGGUCUGAGGUGUGUGAACACUGUGAAUGUCAUGGACAAAGCUCAGCGUGGGACCCCAUGGGACUUCAGCAAUAGCAGUAGCAGCGGCAGUACACUGUCCAGUAUACACGUUUAUAAGGCCCUGAAAGCAGCAGAUCUCACCUGCAUUGGAGGAUGAGACGCCACAUGAAGAAGAAAGAAGACGCCACAGACAGCAGCGCAGUACCACCUUCCAGAGAUGUGAGUGUGACCGUCUUUGACCUUCUAGCCCAGCUGCUUUCCCUGAAUGCAAUGCAUGAGCAGGCCAGGCAAAACUAGAGAGGGAAGCUGCCCAGCUAACCCACAGAAUUAUGAGAGAUAAAAAAUCAUUGUCUUAAGCCACUAAGUCUGUUAUGCAGCAAUAUAUAGCAUUCAUUCAACUUUUGUCUCAUGAAUACUCUCAUUUCUUUUAUAAGUUCUUUUGUGGUUCAAAUUAGCUCAAAUCAGUUUCUGAUGCUUAUGACCAAAUGCCCCUAUGUGAUAGAUUUUGAGGGGUUAAGAAGCUUGCUCGGAUCACACAGCGGUAAGUAGCAGCACUUCAUCUUUAACCCACCUCUGGCCCACUCCCUUUCCAUAGGUCCUUGUUGCCUCCCUCCCUAAUCCCUUCCAGUCUAGUUUCCUCACUCAUUUUAGCAUCUUGAAGAUGCCUGACCUUUUGUAACAGGCACUUAGAAGAGGCAAUAAUCAAGCUGUGAGCUGGAAUACUGGGUUUCUCAUCCAAUAACCAGGUUGGCAGGUUGGUAACCAUACAAGGGACUUUUCAAACUGGAGAAUUAGUGUGCUGAGCACAAAGUGGUGAGUAUUUUGAGAGUUACUGAAAUAUAAUUGACAUAACAAUAAAAAUACAAUAUUUAAGUGCAUGUAUUUCAAGUGUACGAUUUGACAAGUUUGGUUAUAUUAUAUACACCUACGAAACCAUCACCACAAUUAAGAAAAUGAGCAUAGCUAUCACACACAAAAGUUUCCUUGUGCCCCUUGGUAAUUCCUCCCUCUCUCCUGCCCACAUCUCUCCUUUUCCCAGGCAAUCCCUGAUCUGAUUUCUGCCGCUAUCAAUUCGUUUGCAUUUCCUAGAAUUUUAAAUAACUGAAAACAUACAUUAAGAACUCUUUUUCUCUGGCCGAGUAUGGUGGCUCACGCCUGUAAUCCCAGCACUUUGGGUGGCCAAGGCGGGCAGAUCACCUGAGGUCAGGAGUUCGAGACCACCCUGGCCAACGUGGUGAAACCCUGUCUCUACUAAACAUACAAAAAUUAGCCAGGCAUGGUAAUGGGCAUCUGUAAUCCCAGCUACUCGCGAGGCUGAGGCAGGAGAAUUGCUUGAACCUGGGAGACAGAGGUUGCAGUGGGCUGAGAUCACGCCACUGCACUCCAGCAUGGACAACAGAGCGAGACUCCGUCCC